Molecule: ribosomal RNA, 253 nt
Filed under: uncultured bacterium
Lineage: Bacteria
Description: partial 16S ribosomal RNA
Rfam family: Bacterial small subunit ribosomal RNA
Source: RNAcentral
UACGUAGGGCGCAAGCGUUAUCCGGAAUGAUUGGGCGUAAAGCGUCCGCAGGUGGCAGUGUAAGUCUGCUGUCAAAGCGUCUGGCUCAACCAGAUAAAGGCAGUGGAAACUACAUAGCUAGAGUAAGGUAGGGGUAGAGGGAAUUCCUGGUGUAGCGGUGAAAUGCGUAGAGAUCAGGAAGAACACCGGUGGCGAAAGCGCUCUGCUGGACCUUAACUGACACUGAGGGACGAAAGCUAGGGGAGCGAAUGGG